AUUGCCUUUGAGUGUUUUCAUGCAAUAAAACAGGAAAAGGAUCCAGAGCGGAGUUUUUGUGCGUACAAGUUGGACUUAUCGAAGGCAUAUGACAGAGUGGACUGGGUGUUCUUGGAGCGAAUGAUGCAACAGUUGGGUUUCUCUCAUCGGUGGGUGUCGUGGAUAAUGGAGUGUGUCACCUCGGUGAGAUAUAAUGUGAAAAUCAAUGGAGCCCUCUCGGAUUCGUUUGCGCCAUCCUGUGGGUUACGACAGGGAGACCCCAUCUCGCCUUUCCUAUUCCUUUUUGUCGCUGAUGGUUUGGAUGCUUUACUGAAACAGGAGAUUGAAGCUACC
Molecule: ribosomal RNA, 333 nt
Filed under: Triticum aestivum (bread wheat)
Lineage: Eukaryota; Viridiplantae; Streptophyta; Magnoliopsida; Poales; Poaceae
Description: partial small subunit ribosomal RNA
Source: RNAcentral